This 305-nucleotide ribosomal RNA is filed under the name uncultured bacterium. RNAcentral's name for it is "bacterial SSU rRNA". It matches the Rfam family "Bacterial small subunit ribosomal RNA", at positions 338 to 660 of the family's 1533-position model. The record is from RNAcentral.
CCUACGGGGCGCAGCAGUGGGGAAUAUUGCACAAUGGGGGAAACCCUGAUGCAGCGACGCCGCGUGAGCGAUGAAGUAUUUCGGUAUGUAAAGCUCUAUCAGCAGGGAAGAAGAUGACAGUACCUGACUAAGAAGCCCCGGCUAACUACGUGCCAGCAGCCGCGGUAAUACGUAUGGUGCAAGCGUUAUCCGGAUUUACUGGGUGUAAAGGGAGCGCAGGCGGCACGGCAAGCCUGAUGUGACAGCCCGCGGCCCAACCGCGGGACGGCAUUGGGAACUACCGGGCUGGAGUGCCGGAGAGGUAG